AUUGAACGCUGGCGGCAGGCCUAACACAUGCAAGUCGAAUGGUAACAGGAAACAGCUUGCUGUUUCGCUGACGAGUGGCGGACGGGUGAGUAAUGUCUGGGAAACUGCCUGAUGGAGGGGGAUAACUACUGGAAACGGUAGCUAAUACCGCAUAACGUCGCAAGACCAAAGAGGGGGACCUUCGGGCCCCUUGCCAUCAGAUGUGCCCAGAUGGGAUUAGCUAGUAGGUGGGGUAACGGCUCACCUAGGCGACGAUCCCUAGCGGGUCUGAGAGGAUGACCAGCCACACUGGAACUGAGACACGGUCCAGACUCCUACGGGAGGCAGCAGUGGGGAAUAUUGCACAAUGGGGGCAAGCCUGAUGCAGCCAUGCCGCGUGUAUGAAGAAGGCCUUCGGGUUGUAAAGUACUUUCAGCGGGGAGGAAGGGAGUAAAGUUAAUACCUUUGCUCAUUGACGUUACCCGCAGAAGAAGCACCGGCUAACUCCGUG
RNAcentral lists this ribosomal RNA (490 nucleotides) under uncultured bacterium. Its description in RNAcentral is "partial 16S ribosomal RNA". It matches the Rfam family "Bacterial small subunit ribosomal RNA", at positions 30 to 507 of the family's 1533-position model. The record is from RNAcentral.